CACGCCGUAAACGAUGAUAACUGGGUUUUUAAUGAAUAUCAUUAAGAGCCUGAGUGAAAGCAUUAAGUUAUCCACCUGGGGAGUACGUUCGCAAGUAUGAAACUCAAAGGAAUUGACGGGGGCCCGCACAAGCGGAGGAACAUGUGGUUUAAUUCGAUGAUACGCGAGGAACCUUACCCGGGCUUAAAUGUAGAUUGCAUAAUUUAGAGAUAAAUUUUUCCGUCAAAAGACUAUCUACAAGGUGC
Molecule: ribosomal RNA, 245 nt
Filed under: uncultured Bacteroidota bacterium
Lineage: Bacteria; Pseudomonadati; Bacteroidota
Description: uncultured Bacteroidetes bacterium partial 16S ribosomal RNA
Rfam family: Bacterial small subunit ribosomal RNA
Source: RNAcentral